This 492-nucleotide ribosomal RNA is filed under the name uncultured bacterium. RNAcentral describes it as "partial 16S ribosomal RNA". It matches the Rfam family "Bacterial small subunit ribosomal RNA", at positions 29 to 507 of the family's 1533-position model. The record is from RNAcentral.
AGUGAACGCUGGCGGUAGGCCUAACACAUGCAAGUCGAACGGCAGCACAGUAAGAGCUUGCUCUUACCGGUGGCGAGUGGCGGACGGGUGAGGAAUACAUCGGAAUCUACUUUUUCGUGGGGGAUAACGUAGGGAAACUUACGCCAAUACCGCAUACGACCCUCGGGUGAAAGCAGGGGAUCUUCGGACCUUGCGCGAUUGAAUGAGCCGAUGUCGGAUUAGCUAGUUGGCGGGGUAAUGGCCCACCAAGGCGACGAUCCGUAGCUGGUCUGAGAGGAUGAUCAGCCACACUGGAACUGAGACGCGGUCCAGACUCCUACGGGAGGCAGCAGUGGGGAAUAGUAGACAGUGGGCGCAAGCCUGAUCCAGCCAUACCGCGUGGGUGAAGAAGGCCUUCGGGUUGUAAAGCCCUUUUGUUGGGAAAGAAAAGCAGCAGGUUAAUACGCCGCUGUUCUGACGGUACCCAAAGAAGAAGCACCGGCUAACUUCGUG